This 207-nucleotide ribosomal RNA is filed under the name uncultured bacterium. RNAcentral describes it as "partial 16S ribosomal RNA". It matches the Rfam family "Bacterial small subunit ribosomal RNA", at positions 568 to 774 of the family's 1533-position model. The record is from RNAcentral.
UGCGUAGGCGGUUAUAUUAGUCGGGUGUUAAAUCCUGGGGCUCAACCUCAGGCUCGCAUCCGAAACGGUAUAACUAGAAGGCGUCAGAGGUAAGCAGAACUCUCGGUGUAGGGGUGGAAUCCGUUGAUAUCGAGGGGAAUACCAAAUGCGAAGGCAGCUUACUGGGACGUUCUUGACGCUGAGGCACGAAAGCGUGGGUAGCGAACG